RNAcentral lists this non-coding RNA (28 nucleotides) under Mus musculus (house mouse). Lineage: Eukaryota; Metazoa; Chordata; Mammalia; Rodentia; Muridae. The record is from RNAcentral.
UAGUAGUGGUUUCUUCCUGAAUGGUGGG